UAGGGAAUAUUGGUAAUGGGCGAAAGCCUGAACCAGCAACGCCGCGUGUGCGAUGAAGGCCUUCGGGUCGUAAAGCACUUUUCGAAGGGAUGAGGAAGGACAGUACCUUCGGAAUAAGCCUCGGCUAACUACGUGCCAGCAGCCGCGGUAAAACGUAGGAGGCAAGCGUUAUCCGGAUUUACUGGGCGUAAAGCGCGUGCAGGCGGUUUGGAAAGUUGGAUGUGAAAGCUCCCGGCUUAACUGGGAGAGGUCGUUCAAAACUACCAGACUAGAGGGCGAUAGAGGGAGGUGGAAUUCCGGGUGUAGUGGUGAAAUGCGUAGAUAUCCGGAGGAACACCAGUGGCGAAAGCGGCCUUCUGGAUCGUACCUGACGCUCAGACGCGAAAGCUAGGGUAGCAAACGGG
RNAcentral lists this ribosomal RNA (404 nucleotides) under uncultured bacterium. RNAcentral's name for it is "bacterial SSU rRNA". It matches the Rfam family "Bacterial small subunit ribosomal RNA", at positions 355 to 776 of the family's 1533-position model. The record is from RNAcentral.